AAAUAAGCAAGUUUCAUUGCAUUAAAUUAAUAGUAUAACAUUUCAAGUCUACAAAAUGUCACAGAUUCAAACCAACUUAACCAGAUCAUUUUAAACCUACUAGCGGUUGAAGAUUGUCCCAAAGCGCUUUCCGUACUUGCAAUUUCGCACAUGCAUGGGACGACGCAUCCAUUUUCCACCUGCCCUUGGCAAACUUUUGUAAAUCCGUUAUCAUCCAUAAAUUAUUUGGCUCUGAAUGUGGAGGUGCAAACAGUGUCCUGUAAGUGAAUCUACAAGGUACCAAUUACUAAAACACUAUAAAUUAAUCCAUGGCCAUUAUGGUCAGGGACACUCCAGAUAUCCAUGCACAUACUAUGAAUGCCCAUGCUCAUUCAGAACAUGGAAUGCACUUAAAACUCAUUUGAGUCGAUGUCAUGUUGAUGUUUUACAUUUAAGGACUACAGAACAAGUAAUAUUGACAUGCCCUUUGUGUCCAGGAAGUGAAAUAGCAUCUAGUACAGAUUACUUUUCUCAUGUAAACAACCAUCUGAGAAGUUAUGAAACAGUAACUUGUAUGUUUGAAAAUUGUUGUUUUCAAACUAAUAUAUAUGCUACUUUCAAAUCCCAUAAGAAUAGGAAGCAUGCACAUUGCACUAUAAAAGACUUUAAAGUUGGACUAUUGAAAGGAUGUGAUACAAAUGCUGAGCAUCAACUAUCUAAAAAGCAUUCAACUGCUGAAAUUGCUUCCGAUUUAGAUUGCGACAAUUUUAUUGAACCUGAGGCAGAAAAUGAGAACUUGCAAGACACAAUAAUUAAAAAAUUGGCAUCAGUCCUUCUGAAAUUGGAGACUUUUUCACAUGUACCAAGCUCUACAAUUGAUGAGUUACUGGAAGAGUUGCAUUUCAUUUUUACCUCUGCUGCAGUGCCUGUAUCACACAGUACAGCUUUUGAAAUUUUCAAUAAGCAUAACCUUCAGGUUAAUCAGUUAAUAAUUAAUGAACUCAUCUUAGCCAUUUCUACCAAUAAUCCUUUGGUAAUAGCUAUAGCUAAAGGUGGUCCAUUAGCCUCAGCCUUCAAACGUAAACAGUACUAUAAAGAAAACUUUAAGGUUGUGGAACCUGUUGAGUAUGUACUAGAGGCAAGGUCCAAUAAAACCUUUCAGUACAUUCCCUUACUGAAUUCUCUACAGCAGCUACUUGGACGUAAAGAUAUAGUUGAUAAGCUUCUUGAUAAUCAUGCAGUUUCUUCUGCAAAUGUAGACCACUAUGCGUCUUUUCAGAACGGUGAGUACCACAAAAGAAACCCUUUCUUUUCAGGUGAGGAUUUAAGGAUUAGUUUAUGUUUGUACAUCGACGACUUUGAGGUUUGCAAUCCGUUGGGAACUUCACGCAAAAAACACAAACUGUGUGCAGUCUACUGGAUUUUAGGUAACUUGCCUCCUGGUAGCAGCUCAGUCCUGUCCUCAAUCUACCUAGCAUUGUUGUGCAAAAGUGAUCAUGUUAAAGCUUAUGGCUACAAAAAAAUAUUUGAGCCUUUAUUGCAUGAUAUAGUGACUUUGGAGCAGCAAGGACUGUUUAUUCCACAACUUGGGUCAUUUAUCAAGGGCACAGUACAAUGUGUUGUUGCGGAUAAUCUGGGGGCUCAUGGGCUAGCUGGAUUUGUCGAGAGUUUUUCGGGAAAAUAUUUCUGUCGGUUUUGUACAGCUCAGAAUUGUGACAUUCAGGGGAACGAAGUGAAAUCCGGGGUAUUUGAGCGUAGAACCAACGAAGUUCAUCAGCUUCACGUAAAGACGGCUCAAGAAAAAGGGGAAAGCUGCUUUGGUGUAAAAACGUCUUGUGUUUUAACUGACAGUCUGUCUCACUUUAAUGUGACAAGUGGUUACCCCCCAGAUAUUGUCCACGAUGUGUUUGAGGGCAUAGUUCCUGUAGAACUAGCACUGUGCAUUAAUGUGCUUUUAUCGAAGAAGUUCUUCACUCUUGAACACCUUAAUAAUCUUAUCCAUUCUUUUCCAUAUAAAGAGGGGGAUAAAACAAACCGCCCUCAUUUGCUACCUAAAACUUUUCAAAAGAAACGCACAGUGGGUGGCAAUGCCCAUGAAAACUGGUGUCUUCUUCGAUUACUUCCUUUUAUCAUUGGUAAACUUGUUCCAACUGAUGAACCUGCUUGGCAGGUGAUUUUGGAUUUAAAGGAUAUUGCUGAAUUGGUAGUUGCCCCUGUUCAUUGUCUAGAAUCGAUUGCAUAUUUGGAGUGCAAAAUCUCAGAGCAUCGAGAACGUUAUCAGGAACUCUUUCCUGAACAGAAGUUGUUGCCUAAACAUCAUUUUCUGGAACACUAUCCAGAAAUGAUUAAAUGUUUUGGUCCCCUCGUGUCAUUAUGGACUAUGCGGUUUGAGGCCAAACACAGCUUUUUUAAGCAAGUUGUUAGGCAUUUAAAUAACUUCAGGAACAUAACUCUGUCAUUAGCUACAAAGCAUCAGUUAAUGGUUUCCUAUAAUAUGCUUUGUCCUGACAAUGAAAAGCCCUCCUUGGAUGUUGCGAAAGUUUCAAAAGUCCCCAUUGAUGUCCUUAAUGAGGAUGUAUUGAACACAAUAACCCAGACAUACCCUGACAUCACUGAUGUAAACCUUGCCCAAAGUGUCACUGUUAAUGGCAUAAACUACAAAAAAGGUAUGAUAGUUGUGCAUGGAUCAUGUGGCGGUCUUCCAGAAUUUUCCGAAAUAAUUCAGCUGUGCAUUAUAAAAGAUGAUUUGAUUUUCAUUGUUAAAAAACUUAACUCAUGGUACAGAGAGCACUAUCGAGCUUAUGAGUUACAUCCAACAAGAGAGCUUGCAGCUGUUGGUUUGAAGGAGCUUGCUGACCAGUGUCCUUUGGCUGACUACAAAGUUGGAUCCCUACGAAUGGUGACUUUAAAAAGAUUUGUACAUGUGACAGAAUGAAUUCAAGAUGUCUGCAACUCUGAGAGUCAUAUUUGGAGUAGACGACGCAUCAAAAUUAAUUCUGCCCAAUGGAAUACCCAAUUCCAUAGAGGACCUUAAAGGAGAGAUUGUAAGACACUUCGGCCUGUCUGGAAAUUUCAGGCUGCAGUAUAGAGACAUUGAUUUUGACAAUGAGUUUGUGAACUUAACAGAUACUUCAGAAAUCAAAGACAAAAGCACAGUUAAAGUUAUUAACUUGCCGGAUGAGACAAUCACACUCACACUCACUAAUGUUACGCAAGAGGAAGAUGAUUUUUUGCUGUCCUCAGCAUCAGACACAGACAUACUUUCCUCCGCUGAAUCUACAUCUUCAGGUACCUCCCUUAGAUCACAGCCAUGGCCCACAAACUUUGAAAUACCUCCGUUCAGUUAUGAGGUACAGAUUCAGUUAGAAAAGGCAAAACAAGCCUUCUGCAGCAGUGGAACUCUUCUUACAACAAGUAACAAACUGAGGUCCGAUAUACUAGACGGUCUGGCAGCAGAAAUCAUCAAAUACAAAGUUUAUCCUUCUAGUACAGAGCUUGAUAAUGUGGCUCAGGCUCUGAUAACAAAGUAUCCCUUUUUAAAGGAGAAAGGAUCUGUCACUGGCUUUUAUGGCUGGAAAAUUAGUUUAAAGUACAAAAUGGCAAACUACCGCACCAGACUAAGGAGCAUUGGCUGCCCCGAGUUGAGCAUCAACGCUGUAAAAGAAAAGCAAGGUGCCACGAGUCAUGGACCUAACCAGGUUAAGAAGCCACGUAAAGCAGAAGUCAACUAUUGUCCUGAUUACCCUGCAGGCGAAACUAAAGAGAGCCUCGAGGAAGAAAGGAAAGCACUUAUAUUGGAGGUGAAAAAGAAGAACAACCAACAGCUAAUCAAAAGUAAAAUGGAAAGAACCUUUGCCUAUAGAAGACAGGAAGUCGUUAAAGAUAUGCCCUUCAUAGCAGAGUUCAAAAACAGAUGGCCAGCCCUGUUUUCUGAGAGCCAGGUAAAUGCAGAAUUCACCCUCAUCACCACAGUCCCCCUGUUCUCAACCUUUAUGUCCCGACUGGAUCAUUACUCUAGCCAGCUAUUGAGGGUAUUCAAAAAGAAGGGGGGAACAGCAAGACGUGAUAUCGACGUAAUCAUUGCAGAAAUGGACAAGAAUCCCAGUGUUGAAGUACGACGGACAUGCAUCCUAAAGGCAUUGUGCGUCUACUUAAAUGAAAAGCCUGACAGCCUUAUUAAGGAGUACUGGGCUACUGAGGAUAUUGGUAUUGAUGCAAUGACGGAAAUGGAGAGACUGGCUUUGGGUGUCUACAUUGUUCGACAUGAUGGAGCGGAUGCUUCAGAUCCACCUGAGGAUGUUGGCGUCGUCAUUGAAGGCUGCACAGUGCUGCGAGAUCUGAGAGAGGUUGCAAAUGGAUGUGCAGUCCUGUUUGGCUUGAUCUACUGUUUAAACUUGAGCUAUCCCAAGGAACUGCGAUACACUUUCGAAUUUCUUCAGAAAGUGUUUAUGGAAUUGGAUGGGAACAAGCUCUCCACUAAAGUGCAGGUCCUCAAAAACAAACUGCAUGAGUAGAAUCACCUGCACCUGGCUUUAGACACUUUAGUUGUGUUGACUGUUACUUUGUUUUUGGACUGCUGCUAGACAAAAUAAAGCUGAGAUCAAUGAUGGUUUGUAAUAAGCAGACAGGACUGCAGUUGGUCAUUGACUUGCUUGGGGAGGCUCAGUUCUUUGGAUUUUGGACUGCUGCUAGACAAAACAUCUAGCAAUCUAAAGACAAUGUUGGUUGUGGUAAUUGGCAUUUAAACUUCUCUUGUUUUCUGAUUUCUUAAGAAUCAAAAGAUGUGAAAUACAACAAACACUGGUUUGUUAUAAUGAAACCAUUUCAAACAAUUUAAGGUGAAGAUUGUUUUUUGUUACGUAAACAUUGCUAAAUUUUCUAUUUCUCCUGUUGAAGCAAACUAUAAAACUUGUACUUUUCAUAAUGUUCUUGAUAAGUCAGCAGGUAUGUAAAGUCUGAACAUAGGAUGUUCUAACGGUGAAGUGAGAAUUUUCUGCAGCAUAAAUCCUCUUGAUUGUAAACUUCAGUUAAUUUAACCUCCCUCCAUAUAGAAAACAAGGAUUUGCCUCUUUAGUUUUUAUUUCAGUAGGCAACACCUGUUAGACAUUGUUGACGUCAUAGUUCAGAUUUACUAGAAAGCUAUAAUGGGAUUGAACAUUAUCGGAUGGUGGAAGAUUCACGAACAAGUUUUAUAUUUUAGAAUUUUUUUAAUAUAUAUUGGUCUAUUCUUUGCACAUCUUUUUUUUUUUUUUUUUUUGAAUUCAUCUUUUUGAUGGGAAUUGAAACGUGAAGUGCUAAAGUCUACUGAGGCCUCAAGGUAAAAAAAAAGUUAUUUGUUUAAAAAUAUAUUUUGUUCUUGGCAGGAGUUUGGUUUUCAAAAUUUAAACUAAAAUGGAAUGGUUAAAUAUAUUAGGCUACUGCAUAUACAUGAUUAUUUAGGCUCAUUGUUUCUGACCGUUUAAAAAAAAAAAGUCUCAUUGUCCCAAUGCCAAUGAUGUAUUUUGUGAUCAAAUUUGAUGAGACACAUCAAACGAAAUCUGGCACAUAGUGGACAUGCAGUGCAAAUCAUCAUUUUUCCAUUUAUUUGAAAGUCAUGUUAGUCCGAGUUGUCAAAUUGUUUUUUUUUUCCUUGAGAAAAGUUUAUAGUUAAAUGAGUUUAUUAAGCUAAAAAACUAAGGAUUUGCCUCUAUUUUUUUAUUGCAGCAGGCAAUACAUGUUAAACAUUCUUGAUGUUGUCAAAGUUCAGAUUCACUUUUGGGACUAUAAAGCUAUAAUGGGAUUUAACAUUAUCAGAUAGUGAAAGAGAUUCACAAACAAGUUUUAUAUUUUUGAUUUAUUUAUUUUGGUCUAUUUGCGUUUUAUACGUGGAUUUAUGUUGGUGUCUUCAAUUGUAUUAGUACAAUUUGUAUUCGUAUAUAAGUUUUGCUUAUAUAUUUGUAAUAAUUGUAUCAGUCAUGAUAAUCCCAGAUAUAGUAAUGUACCUUACUUUUUGACUUCUACUUCAAAACCCAAAGUGAAUAAAGUUAAUUA
This is an RNA transcript of Carassius auratus (goldfish), 6009 nucleotides long. It is a transcript of the gene named sterile alpha motif domain-containing protein 3-like, with no coding region annotated. The record is from RefSeq and is a predicted model, not a curated record. Lineage: Eukaryota; Metazoa; Chordata; Actinopteri; Cypriniformes; Cyprinidae. The transcript is spliced from 6 exons.